AAGACACUAGUAAAACGCCAUUACUCUGCCUUGUCAAGGCAAAAUUGCGGGUUAAACCCCCGCGUGUCUUG
This 71-nucleotide transfer RNA is filed under the name Uraspis helvola (whitemouth jack). RNAcentral describes it as "tRNA-Asp". It matches the Rfam family "tRNA". Rfam says of the family: Transfer RNA (tRNA) molecules are approximately 80 nucleotides in length. The record is from RNAcentral. Lineage: Eukaryota; Metazoa; Chordata; Actinopteri; Carangiformes; Carangidae.